GUACACGCUGUGACUAGCAUAUCAAUAAGCGGAGGAAAAGAAACUAACAAGGAUUCCCCUAGUAACGGCGAGUGAAGCGGGAAGAGCUCAAAUUUGAAAUCUUAAAGGGUUUCCCUUUACGAAUUGUAGUUUAAAGAAGUGUUUUCUGUUGAGGUUUUGGUAAAAGUUCUUUGGAAUAGGGACAUCAUAGAGGGUGAGAAUCCCGUAUUUGACCUUUACUUUCAACUUUGUGAUACACUUUCAAAGAGUCGGAUUGUUUGGGAAUGCAGUCCAAAAUGGGUGGUAAAUUUCAUCUAAAGCUAAAUAUUGGCGAGAGACCGAUAGCGAACAAGUACCGUGAGGGAAAGACUGAAAAGAACUUUGAAAAGAGAGUUAAACAGUACGUGAAAUUGUCAAAAGGGAAGCGUUUGACACCAGUGUUGUUUUUCUGAAAAUCAAUUAAAGAACUGUUUAUGCUAAGCUGUUUAGACUUUAUCAGCUAUCUGUUUAGUUUUGAGCUUUUCUUUAAUGCACUUUCAGUUAACAAGUCAACAUCAAUUUCUUUUGCUGUAAAAAAGCUUGAGGAAGGUGGCUUGAGAUUCGUCUUAAGUGUUUAUAGCCUCUUGCCUAUGCAGUCGGAGAGAUUGAGGUCUGCAGCGUAGAUCCUUCGGGGCUAAAUGCAUUUGUGCUAAGUUAUAGCAUUUUAUAGACAACUUGUUGACUAUGAUUAGUCUUGUAGCUUACUCGCUUAUGCUACUUUUACCUACGCUUAGGAUGUUGAUAUGCAUGACUGAUAU
RNAcentral lists this ribosomal RNA (776 nucleotides) under uncultured Neocallimastigales. Its description in RNAcentral is "partial large subunit ribosomal RNA". It matches the Rfam family "Eukaryotic large subunit ribosomal RNA", at positions 22 to 631 of the family's 3401-position model. Lineage: Eukaryota; Fungi; Neocallimastigomycota; Neocallimastigomycetes; Neocallimastigales. The record is from RNAcentral.